RNAcentral lists this long non-coding RNA (210 nucleotides) under Hordeum vulgare. RNAcentral's name for it is "long non-coding RNA (HVUL_LNC009444)". The record is from RNAcentral. Lineage: Eukaryota; Viridiplantae; Streptophyta; Magnoliopsida; Poales; Poaceae.
GUUAGAUUAUUUUUAUUUUGUUCCUAACCAUUUUGUUGUAACGUGCAGAUGCUAGCCUUUCAUGUUUCUUCACAAGCAUCACGACAAAGAAGAAGAAGCAUAGUUCAGUGGAUCUAGUUCUCGGAGUAAUGAAGCCCAUGUGAUGCUUCAUUACUAUACACUUGUAGAGCUUUUUAUCUGAUUGUAAACUUAAUGUUGAUCACAUUUAUA